AUUGAACGCUGGCGGCAGGCCUAACACAUGCAAGUCGAGCGAGCGGCGGACGGGUGAGUAAUGUGUGAGGACUGCCCGAUCGAGGGGGGUAACUACUGGAAACGGUGGCUAAAACCGCAUACUAUCGGAUAACCCAUAUGGGAUUAGCGAGUAGGUGGGGUAAAGGCUCACCUAGGCGUCGAUCGCUAGCUGGUCUGAGAGGAUGAUCAGCCACACUGGGACUGAGACACGGCCCAGACUCCUACGGAGGCAGCAGUGGGGAAUAUUGCACAAUGGGCGCAAGCCUGAUGCAGCCAGGCCGCGUGUAUGAAGAAGGCCUUAGGGUUGUAAAGUACUUUCAGCGGGGAGGCGUUACCCGCAGAAGAAGCACCGGCUAACUCCGUGCCAGCCGCCGCGGUAAUAC
Molecule: ribosomal RNA, 403 nt
Filed under: uncultured bacterium
Lineage: Bacteria
Description: partial 16S ribosomal RNA
Rfam family: Bacterial small subunit ribosomal RNA
Source: RNAcentral